Chelonoidis abingdonii (Abingdon island giant tortoise) is the source of this 143-nucleotide non-coding RNA. The record is from RefSeq and is a predicted model, not a curated record. NCBI's taxonomy places the organism in Eukaryota, Metazoa, Chordata, Testudines, Testudinidae.
UUGUUCCUCUAUGUCUAGUUUUGCCAGUUCCUGUUUCAGGUCCUUGGUAGUCAUGGUUCCUGCUUUCUUGUGUUGGAGUGUCCUCUGGUGUUUACUGCCUGAACUGUCGCUUCUCUGUUGUCUGCGUAUGGUUGCCUAGCAAC